CGAAGGAUGCAAGCGUUAUCCGGAUUUAUUGGGUUUAAAGGGAGCGUAGGCGGUCUUAUAAGUCAGUGGUGAAAUCUCGUUGCUUAACAACGAACGUGCCAUUGAUACUGUAGGACUUGAGUACAGUUGCCGUUGGCGGAAUGUGUCAUGUAGCGGUGAAAUGCAUAGAUAUGACACAGAACACCGAUUGCGAAGGCAGCUGACGAAACUGUAACUGACGCUGAGGCUCGAAAGCGUGGGGAUCAAACAGGAUUAGAUACCCUGGUAGUCCACGCCCUAAACUAUGAUUACUCGCUGUCGGCGAUAUACAGUCGGUAGCUAAGCGAAAGCGUUAAGUAAUCCACCUGGGGAGUACGCUCGCAAGGGUG
RNAcentral lists this ribosomal RNA (368 nucleotides) under uncultured organism. RNAcentral's name for it is "bacterial SSU rRNA". It matches the Rfam family "Bacterial small subunit ribosomal RNA", at positions 526 to 896 of the family's 1533-position model. The record is from RNAcentral.